This is a long non-coding RNA of Daphnia pulex (common water flea), 1020 nucleotides long. RefSeq lists it as uncharacterized. The record is from RefSeq and is a predicted model, not a curated record. NCBI's taxonomy places the organism in Eukaryota, Metazoa, Arthropoda, Branchiopoda, Diplostraca, Daphniidae. The transcript has 4 exons.
UGUGCAGUCGCCAGUCGUGUUCUCGUGUGCCACUGCCCAAUCGUAGCAGUUAGUUGAAUCAUGAGGUUCUGACUUCUCAGAGAAAGAGUCGCCAUUUUUAGACCUUUUUAUUGUUUUUUGAGGUUUUGAAUUUUGAUGUUGGCUUAAUUAGCUGGAUUGCCACUUGUGAGGCAUUUCUUAGAAUGUGAUGGGUUUUAGUUGGUUCGGGUUGGCAGUUCGUGAGCUUGCUAUGAUUCUUGACGAAUUUUGAUGCUGAAAGACUUGGAAACCAUGAAACCAUGCUGUCGACCACGUCGAGAAGCUGAGUAACAUUCUGCUUUUACAAUGGCACCUCUUAAUAAAAGGAACUUAAGCCAUCCAAUCUAGGGCUUCCAUCAAAUCGUGCAGGCUGCAUGGAAGUCGCAUUUACCUUUACUGUGAACAUAAUGAACACAUACACUAUUUGAAGGUGACAAUCUUAUCCAGGUUCAUGUUUACGUAGCAGUGGUGUUGCUGUCCAAUGUGGCGUGUUGUUGCAGCCUAUGGUGGUGAAAGAUAUCUGCAUCAAGUUGCUGUUCCUUGUGCAUCCAAGGUGCUGGUUUUGUGCUACAGAAGUGACAUCAAUAUUGUGUUGUAAUUGCCAUUUGUGUCUUUGCAGUUUACCUUACCUUUAUAUAUUGAGAAGGAACAAAAAAAAAUAGUAAUACGGGGAAGGUUAUGUCAAAAAAUAAUAAACAUGUCCAGGAUGGGGGAAUGAGGAGGAAGUUGGGGUGGGGUAUUUGGUUAUGAUUAUUAAAAGAAGUGAGGUAUAUUUUAAUGAAAAUGCAAUACUUGGUGAUAAAUAUGUUGUUAACCUAUACCAUCCCCACUUUCUCUUACACAUCCGUACCUCAAAUCCCAUAAGCACCCACAUCAAAUCCCACAUCCACUCACACCCAUUCCUAAAACCCCACAAUCUCCAACAUAAAAUUCACACAAAUGUUGUAUACCUAUAAUCAUUUAUAUUUAAAUAAAUAAAAUAUCAUUAUAUAUAAAUUGUAU